This 662-nucleotide ribosomal RNA is filed under the name uncultured bacterium. RNAcentral's name for it is "bacterial SSU rRNA". It matches the Rfam family "Bacterial small subunit ribosomal RNA", at positions 94 to 788 of the family's 1533-position model. The record is from RNAcentral.
AGUGGCGGACGGGUGAGUAACGCGUGAGAAUCUACCUUCAGGACGGGGACAACAGCUGGAAACGGCUGCUAAUACCCGAUAUGCCGAAAGGUGAAAAGUUUUUUCGCCUGGAGAGGAGCUCGCGUCCGAUUAGCUAGUUGGUGAGGUAAAAGCUUACCAAGGCGACGAUCGGUAGCUGGUCUGAGAGGAUGAGCAGCCACACUGGAACUGAGACACGGUCCAGACUCCUACGGGAGGCAGCAGUGGGGAAUUUUCCGCAAUGGGCGAAAGCCUGACGGAGCAACGCCGCGUGGGGGAAGAAGGUUUUUGGAUUGUAAACCCCUUUUCUCAAGGAAGAACAAAAUGACGGUACUUGAGGAAUCAGCCUCGGCUAACUCCGUGCCAGCAGCCGCGGUAAUACGGAGGAGGCAAGCGUUAUCCGGAAUUAUUGGGCGUAAAGCGUUCGUAGGCGGCUGUUCAAGUCUGCUGUCAAAGACCGAGGCUCAACCUCGGGUAGGCAGUGGAAACUGGAUAGCUAGAGGUCGGUAGGGGCAGAGGGAAUUCCCAGUGUAGCGGUGAAAUGCGUAUAUAUUGGGAAGAACACCGGUGGCGAAAGCGCUCUGCUGGGCCGAACCUGACGCUGAGGGACGAAAGCUAGGGGAGCGAAUGGGAUUAGAUACCCC